GAUCAACGCUGGCGGCGUGCCUAACGCAUGUAAGUCGAACGCAGAGCCUUUCGGGCUCUGAGUGGCGAACGGCUGAGGAACACGUACGAACCUGCCCGCUUGUGGGGAAUAACGCACCGAAAGGUGUGCUAAUACCGCGUACGCUCACAUGGCAACAUGUGAGGAAAGUCGCAAGACGCUGGCGGAGGGGCGUGCGGCCCAUCAGGUUGUUGGUGGGGUGAUGGCCUACCAAGGCGACGACGGGUAGCCGGCCUGAGAGGGCGACCGGCCACACUGGGACUGAGACACGGCCCAGACUCCUACGGGAGGCAGGCAGUGGGGAAUCUUGCGCAAUGGGCGAAAGCCUGACGCAGCGACG
RNAcentral lists this ribosomal RNA (358 nucleotides) under uncultured bacterium. RNAcentral's name for it is "bacterial SSU rRNA". It matches the Rfam family "Bacterial small subunit ribosomal RNA", at positions 28 to 396 of the family's 1533-position model. The record is from RNAcentral.